ACACGUGGUAUCCUGUCUGAAUAUGGGGGGACCAUCCUCCAAGGCUAAAUACUCCUGACUGACCGAUAGUGAACCAGUACCGUGAGGGAAAGGCGAAAAAGAACCCCGGCGAGGGGAGUGAAAAAGAACCUGAAACCGUGUACGUACAAGCAGUGGGAGCACCUUCGGGUGUGACUGCGUACCUUUUGUAUAAUGGGUCAGCGACUUAUAUUCUGUAGC
This 219-nucleotide ribosomal RNA is filed under the name Klebsiella pneumoniae. Its description in RNAcentral is "partial 23S ribosomal RNA". It matches the Rfam family "Bacterial large subunit ribosomal RNA", at positions 422 to 641 of the family's 2925-position model. The record is from RNAcentral. Lineage: Bacteria; Pseudomonadati; Pseudomonadota; Gammaproteobacteria; Enterobacterales; Enterobacteriaceae.